AGAGCACUCCUACGGGAGGCAGCAGUGGGGAAUAUUGCACAAUGGGCGCAAGCCUGAUGCAGCCAUGCCGCGUGUAUGAAGAAGGCCUUCGGGUUGUAAAGUACUUUCAGCAGUGAGGAAGGUGGGUAUGUUAAUAGCAUACUCAUUUGACGUUAGCUGCAGAAGAAGCACCGGCUAACUCCGUGCCAGCAGCCGCGGUAAUACGGAGGGUGCGAGCGUUAAUCGGAAUUACUGGGCGUAAAGCGCAUGCAGGUGGUUUGUUAAGUCAGAUGUGAAAGCCCGGGGCUCAACCUCGGAAUUGCAUUUGAAACUGGCAAACUAGAGUACUGUAGAGGGGGUAGAAUUUCAGGUGUAGCGGUGAAAUGCGUAGAGAUCUGAAGGAAUACCGGUGGCGAAGGCGGCCCCCAGGACAGAUACUGACACUCAGAUGCGAAAGCGUGGGGAGCAAACAGGAUUAGAUACCCUGGUAG
This 470-nucleotide ribosomal RNA is filed under the name uncultured bacterium. RNAcentral describes it as "bacterial SSU rRNA". It matches the Rfam family "Bacterial small subunit ribosomal RNA", at positions 330 to 793 of the family's 1533-position model. The record is from RNAcentral.